GAGGCCGGUGAUGAUCGAAACAUAUUUUGCCUACAUUGCUUGAUUAUCUUAUUUUAUUGAGAUAAUGAUAAAAUCCGAUGUAUCUGAGGCCUUC
Molecule: small nucleolar RNA, 94 nt
Organism: Malus domestica (apple)
Lineage: Eukaryota; Viridiplantae; Streptophyta; Magnoliopsida; Rosales; Rosaceae
Product: small nucleolar RNA SNORD34
Source: RefSeq, a predicted model, not a curated record